UGUGACCUCAAAUCAGGUAGGACUACCCGCUGAACUUAAGCAUAUCAAUAAGCGGAGGAAAAGAAACUAACAAGGAUUCCCCUAGUAACUGCGAGUGAAGCGGGAAAAGCUCAAAUUUAAAAUCUGGUGGUCUUUUGGCUGUCCGAGUUGUAAUCUAGAGAAGUGUUAUCCGCGCUGGACCGUGUACAAGUCUCCUGGAAUGGAGCAUCAUAGAGGGUGAGAAUCCCGUCUUUGACAUGGACUGCCAGGGCUUUGUGAUGCGCUCUCAAAGAGUCGAGUUGUUUGGGAAUGCAGCUCAAAAUGGGUGGUAAAUUCCAUCUAAAGCUAAAUAUUGGCGAGAGACCGAUAGCGAACAAGUACCGUGAGGGAAAGAUGAAAAGAACUUUGGAAAGAGAGUUAAACAGUACGUGAAAUUGCUGAAAGGGAAACGCUUGAAGUCAGUCGCGUUGUCCAGGGAUCAACCUUGCUUUUGCUUGGUGCACUUUCUGGUUCGACGGGUCAGCAUCAAUUUUGACUGUUGGAAAAAGGUCAAGGGAAUGUGGCAUCUCUGGAUGUGUUAUAGCCCUUGGUCACAUACAAUGGUUGGGAUUGAGGAACUCAGCAUGCCGCAAGGCCGGG
This 618-nucleotide ribosomal RNA is filed under the name Cortinarius cf. largus UBC F17124 OC52. RNAcentral's name for it is "eukaryotic LSU rRNA". It matches the Rfam family "Eukaryotic large subunit ribosomal RNA", at positions 1 to 609 of the family's 3401-position model. The record is from RNAcentral. Lineage: Eukaryota; Fungi; Basidiomycota; Agaricomycetes; Agaricales; Cortinariaceae.